Podarcis raffonei (Aeolian wall lizard) is the source of this 3375-nucleotide RNA transcript. It is a transcript of the gene named LanC like family member 3, with no coding region annotated. The transcript has 6 exons. The record is from RefSeq and is a predicted model, not a curated record. NCBI's taxonomy places the organism in Eukaryota, Metazoa, Chordata, Lepidosauria, Squamata, Lacertidae.
UGCACUCAUUGAUGGACGGGCGUGUGGGAGAGAGACAAGAAUACAGUAAGCUUUGGAAAAGAGCUGUAUAUAUUUGAAACAAUGGCUCUCUCUUCCGCCGCCGCCGCCCCCCGCCUUGACACGCGCGCGCACACGACAGACUUCAGCAAGCAGGAACCGCGGUGGGAGGGGCGCCGUGGCGAUGGGUGGCGCAUUCUUGACAGCGGCGGCGGCGGCUGCUGCUGCUACUGCCAGGCGCUGAGGGAGAGCGGCCGCCUCUUCUUCACACCACAGAGGAAAUAGCGGGAGGAGGCGGCGGCGGGCUGCUGUCUCUUGCAGACAUUUCAGGCAGGACUGGAGAGAGAGAGAGGAAGCGAAAGGCACGGGCAAAACAUGCCAGGCGCCCUGGCGAAGAGAAGCCGCCUUGCUCUGGGCUGAGGGAAGAACUCCACGACCUGAUAGUUCCUCCCUCGCCUCUCUGCUCCGAGCCGGCAGAGGAACGGGCUGCUCGGGAGUCGGACACACCUCCUCCAGGGGGCUCCGCUCGGCUUCCCGGCUGCGGAGCGAGCGGCGCCUCGGAGCCCCUGUGGGUGGGCGGGCCAAGAGCGCAAGCGACCCGCGCGCCGAGGGAGCCCGGCUGGGUCCGCGCUAAGCAUGGAAAGCAAGCGCUGCUUCGCCAACCGCUUCGACGACUACAAGGGCAGCCUGCUGGCCGGGCAGGGCAAGGAGGCGGUGGCGCCCUUGGUGACGGCCACGGUGGACCGCAUCCUCAAGGAGGUGCCCCCGCUGGGCGGCGCCGAGGCCGCGGGCGGCCUGGGAGGCUGCCAGGGCGGGCUGUACGGCGGCGUGGCCGGCGUGGCCUACAUGCUGUACCACGUCGCGCAGUGCCCGCUCUUCGCGCCGGCCCGGGACUCGUACCUGCGCGCCGCCAAGCAGCUGGUGGACGCCUGCGUGCGCUACGAGGAGGACUGGGGCGACGCCGACGCCGACACCCGCGCCGCCUUCCUGCUGGGCGGCGCCGGCGUCUAUGCCGUGGCCGCGCUCGUCUACCAGGCGCUCGGGCUGCCGGACUGGGCCAGGCCGCUGGGCAAGUUCCGCGAGCUGUGCGAGCUGUGCGCCCCGCUCACCUUCCUCGACUGCGGCUCCGACGAGCUCUUCGUGGGCCGCGCCGGCUACCUGUGCGCCGCCCUGGUGCUGAAGCAGAAGCUGGGAUUGGAGGUGUUGACUCCACCGCAAAUCAAGUCAAUUUGUCAAGCAAUGUUAGAGUCUGGGAAACAGUAUGCUCUGAGGAAGAGAAAACCAGUUCCACUCAUGUACUCUUACUAUGGAACAGAAUACCUUGGAGCUGCUCACGGCCUUUCAUCCAUCCUACAGAUGCUGCUUUCCUACUAUGAAUAUAUUCCGCCUGCUGAUCAGGAACUAGUAUGGCAGAGUGUUGACUUUCUUAUGGAUCAAGAGCAGAAUUGCAACUGGCCUCCAGAACUAGGAGAGAUGAUUGAACGGGAGAAUGAGCUUGUGCACUGGUGUCAUGGCGCUCCAGGUUCUUCUCAAUGCAUUGCAUACAUGUUUGCAAAAGCAUACUUAGUUUCUAAGAAGCCCCAAUAUCUAGACAGUUGUAUCCGCUGUGGAGAACUAACUUGGCAGAAGGGACUACUGAAGAAAGGACCUGGAAUAUGUCAUGGAGUGGCUGGCAGUGCUUACGUGUUCCUGCUCCUAUACAGGCUAACUGGAAAUUCUAAGUACAUCUACAGAGCACAAAGGUUUGCUGAAUUCUUGUUUACUGAAGAAUUUAAGGCUGGAUCCCGGGAACUGGAAAGUGUUUACAGUCUGUAUGAAGGUUUCUCAGGGACAGUUUGCUUCCUGGUUGACUUGCUACAGCCUAACCAAGCUGAAUUCCCCCUCUUCAGUGUCUUUGUGUAAAAUGGAACAUGUUCCACUGCCGGGACAGGAUAAAGGCACUGUUUCAGUUCACUAUCAAGGAAAGCGAUUUUAGAAUAUGUCCAUUUCUGCAUUGCCACUAAUGAGAUAGCCUUAACGUUGCAGGGUGCGGGGUGGGGAGAGCAGGUUUAACACACACACACACAUAUAUAUUCUGGGGCUUGGGAAGGGAAGCAUGUGGUUUAUAAAUAAUAGGUAGCAUUUUUAUUCAAAGGUUAGAAAAGGGUCUGGCAUUUUUACAAAACUGAAAAGGAAUCAAAAUUCAGAUGAAUUAUGGGAAGUUAAAUGAAGUUCACGAAAACUGACAGCGUUCUGUCUUCCACAAGGUAGAUUGGUUAAAGGACAAAAUGCAAAUUUGGAUUUCAGAGAAGUGCAAGUGGGGGAGAAAUGUGAACAAUGCAUUAUUUAAAAGCACACGAAAAGUAUAUUUUUAUGGUACAUUGGCACAUUAUUUUGGGGAAGGCAGGCAAUAAGAAAAGUAAAACUGUCAAACAUGUUUGACAUAUUCCAGAAAUUCAUAUUAGGGCAAUGUCUUUAUUAGGCCAACCAAAAUGCCACAAAAGAGCAUGCCGGGUUUUGAGCUCCCCAGAAUUCUUCAUGAGGUUAGGUGGCAACAACCUGGGAGAAAGCCGCCCAGCAAGAGUCUUAAGAUGGAGUGUAGGAGGUAGCAGACAUUCAAAUAAAGCCCAUUUUACGUACCUUGCAGGAAUCAAGCUCCAUUGUAGCCUCCUGGCAAGGACUAACUCAUAAUGGCAAAGUGCCCUUAAGAGAUGGGAACUCUGCCAUUGUUGGCUGGGGAUGAAAGGUGCUAGUCCAUCAACACCUGCAGGGCCAGAGGUUCCCCACCUCAAUUCUAGGUCACUGUUUCCCAGUGUAGGCAGGUGAAAUUGUUGCCUUUGCUUACCUCUUUGGCAACAGGUUUUCUCUCCUCUAUAAAAAGUCAUUCUAACCCUCAGCUAUAGUAAAAUUGCGAAAUGCUGCAAAAUAGAACAUAGAUGGGUACUUGUUAUUGCAUGGGUCAUGGGAUAAGAAAAUAAUCUUUGCUGAUGAGCUACAUUUGUUUUCAUAAAAUAUAUUAGAUUCAACCCAAGGGGAUAUUGUUUAAGACUCCCUGUGGGUGAUUUUCUGCUCACAGGAUGCUAAGGGUGUGAAAUAGAACUGGUGCAAAUUGUGUCCCUCCUGCCAUUGGCUCAAAGGCCAAUGAACAGAAGGGUUUUUUUCCCAUUUGUGGAAGAACAUGUCUGGAGCCAACCCUACUUAUUGAUGAUUAUUCUUUAAAUUUAAGAAUAUCAUUAUCCUUGCGGGAGAAAAGUCUAGUGAGAGUAGCAAAGUUUAAGGGAAUUCACCCUCCCCUGUUAAAUACUAUGAAAUGACUCUAGCAUUGAUUACUUAGUAGCCUAGCUUUAGAAUAUUAAGUUGGUUUUUCAUGCCAACCUUCUGCAAGCUGGUGGUCUCAAG